CAGAGGGUGCGAGCGUUGUCCGGAAUCACUGGGCGUAAAGGGCGCGUAGGUGGCGACCCAAGUCGAUGGUGAAAGCUCGCCGCUUAACGGCGAGUCGGCCACCGAUACUGGGUUGCUCGAGCACUGUAGAGGCUAAUGGAAUUCCGGGUGUAGCGGUGGAAUGCGUAGAGAUCCGGAAGAACACCGGUGGCGAAGGCGGUUAGCUGGGCAGUUGCUGACACUGAGGCGCGACAGCGUGGGGAGCAAACAGGAUUAGAUACCCUGGUAGUCCACGCCGUAAACGAUGGGCACUAGAUGCUUGGGGGAGCGACCCCCUGAGUGUCGUCGCUAACGCAUUAAGUGCCCCGCCUGGGGAGUACGGCCGCAAGGCUG
This 372-nucleotide ribosomal RNA is filed under the name uncultured organism. RNAcentral describes it as "bacterial SSU rRNA". It matches the Rfam family "Bacterial small subunit ribosomal RNA", at positions 526 to 896 of the family's 1533-position model. The record is from RNAcentral.